GACGAACGCUGGCGGCGUGCUUAACACAUGCAAGUCGAACGGAAAGGCCCUGCGUUUGUGGGUUGCUCGAUUGGCGAACGGGUGAGUAACACGUGAGUAACCUGCCCUUGACUUUGGGAUAACUUCAGGAAACUGGGGCUCAUACCGGAUAGGAUCUCCUGCUGCAUGGGGGGGGUUGGAGAGUUUCGGCGGUUGGGGCUGGACUCGCGGCUUAUCAGCUUGUUGGUGGAGUAGUGGCUUACCAAGGGUUUGACGGGUAGCCGGCCUGAGAGGGUGACCGGCCACAUUGGGACUGAGAUACGGACCAGACUCCUACGGGAGGCAGCAGUGGGGAGCAUUGCACAAUGGGCGGAAGCCUGAUGCAGCAACGCCGCGUGCGUGAUGACGGGCUUCGGGUUGUAAACCGCUUUCGCCUGUGACGAAGCGGUAGUGACGGUAAUGGGUAAAGAAGCACCGGCUAACUACGUG
RNAcentral lists this ribosomal RNA (468 nucleotides) under uncultured bacterium. RNAcentral's name for it is "partial 16S ribosomal RNA". It matches the Rfam family "Bacterial small subunit ribosomal RNA", at positions 28 to 507 of the family's 1533-position model. The record is from RNAcentral.